Molecule: RNA transcript, 3439 nt
Organism: Anopheles stephensi (Asian malaria mosquito)
Lineage: Eukaryota; Metazoa; Arthropoda; Insecta; Diptera; Culicidae
Gene: eRF1
Gene name: eukaryotic peptide chain release factor subunit 1
Exons: 9
Source: RefSeq, a predicted model, not a curated record
GUUAAUGAUUUUGCAUACACACGCACACACGUACACACGUACACACUUGUUUCGUACCGUAAAACCACAUGUGAAAGUAACCUUAAUUGCCCCGUAAAUGUCUGGUUUCUUUAACUUAUUAACUUGCAAAAAGGGUGAAUUAUUCGUGACAAUUCUGCUGGCAAGCCCAUCUGCUUAAAUCAGUCGUUCGCACAAUAAAACUACACUUCCGUUGGCUCCAAACUCGUGCCCAGAAUACGCCUUGCCUCAACGGAACAGCCACAGUUAAUGAUCAUCAGCAAAUCGCUGUUAAACAAAGGAAAUCCGUAAACGUGUCGCGUGAAGGUAUAUAUAUAUAUACGUUCACAAUCAGCACAGCGCACGCUUUGGUACGCCCGUGAUUGAACAGUUUUUUAACUACAAAAGACCACAAACAGUCUAGCAACAUCAUGUCUUUCGACGAGACAUCGGCGGAUCGUAAUGUGGAGAUCUGGAAGAUUAAAAAGCUUAUUAAGAGCUUGGAAAUGGCAAGGGGCAAUGGGACGAGUAUGAUUUCGUUAAUCAUACCUCCAAAGGAUCAAAUUAGUCGUGUAAGCAAGAUGUUAGCCGACGAGUUUGGAACCGCAUCAAACAUCAAAUCCCGCGUAAACCGUCUGUCCGUGCUCGGCGCUAUUACGUCUGUUCAACACAGAUUGAAACUUUACACCAAAGUGCCUCCUAAUGGAUUAGUGAUUUAUUGUGGUACGAUCGUUACGGAGGAGGGCAAAGAGAAGAAGGUCAACAUCGACUUCGAGCCGUUUAAACCAAUCAAUACCUCCCUUUAUUUGUGUGACAACAAAUUUCACACCGAAGCAUUAACUGCACUUCUUGCCGAUGACAAUAAGUUUGGUUUUAUAGUGAUGGAUGGUAACGGGGCUCUGUUCGGCACGCUCCAGGGGAACACGCGCGAGGUGCUGCACAAGUUCACCGUUGAUCUACCGAAAAAGCACGGUCGUGGUGGUCAAUCUGCAUUGCGUUUUGCGCGAUUGCGUAUGGAGAAGCGCCACAACUAUGUGCGGAAGGUAGCCGAGGUUGCCACGCAGCUGUUCAUUACGAAUGACAAACCCAACAUUGCUGGCCUGAUUCUGGCCGGUAGCGCUGACUUCAAGACGGAACUCAGUCAGUCCGACAUGUUCGAUCCGAGAUUGCAAUCGAAGGUCAUCAAGCUGGUGGACGUUUCUUACGGCGGAGAGAACGGUUUUAAUCAGGCAAUCGAGCUGGCAGCUGAAUCGUUACAGAACGUGAAAUUCAUUCAAGAGAAAAAGUUGAUUGGUAGAUACUUUGAUGAAAUAUCGCAGGAUACUGGAAAAUAUUGUUUCGGCGUCGAAGAUACUCUAAAGGCACUAGAGCUGGGAUCGGUAGAAACUCUAAUAUGUUGGGAAAACCUGGAUAUUCAGCGUUACAUAUUAAAGAACCAUGCGAGCGCUACGUCUACUACAGUAUUACACUUAACGCCCGAGCAGGAAAAGGACAAAUCUCAUUUCACUGACAAGGAGAGUGGUGUCGAGAUGGAAUUGGUCGAAUCGCAACCGCUGCUUGAAUGGUUAGCUAACAAUUACAAAUGCUUCGGUGCAACGUUGGAAAUUAUAACGGAUAAAUCGCAGGAAGGUAGUCAAUUUGUCCGUGGGUUCGGUGGAAUCGGAGGAAUCCUUCGCUACAAAGUCGAUUUUCAAUCCUUGCAAGCGGAUGAACCGUUGGAUGAUGUUGAUUUAGACGAUUAUUGAAUUGCUUUCAUGUGCAAUAACACACACAUGGUACACUUUUUUCUCAUUCGGUGUGCAUUAACCAAUUAACAAACGAAUGUUUUUUGUAUGAUUUUGUUUUUGCAAACGAUUUCUUCGAUUCCGCGUCUUUUUUUCUACGCGCAAAAGAAGGGCCGAGCAAUUCGGUCAUGUCGACAGUUUUACGUACAUUCUUUCUACAUAUGUUGUGUGUGUGCCCUAUAAUAUCAGUAGAAGAGAACUAUUACUAGAAUUAAAUCUUGACUCAGUUUACGACCACUUGAACAUUAAAAAAAAAAAACUGCCAACUGCAUGUCUGAGAACAUGUUUAGUGAAUCUUGUAGAGCGUCAAUAUGUUUAUUUCACGUUUGAGUGAGGAUUUGAAUAACAUGUUUGCAUUUGCUAUUUCCAAUUCAUUGUAUCGGUUCUCUUUAAAUGGGGAUGGUAUUCUUCGUCUUUUGGCACUAUAAACGCGAGUAUGGGUUUAGGCUUAACGGAUUUCCGGCUUCCUUCGGAAGACGAUCACGGGUUAAAUACGAUAGCCUAGAUCCAAAAACAACAUACUUCGUACGAUCGGAUUGUUUUGUGUGAGCUUUACGUUGUUAGUUGAGUGUGCUUGUACGGUGCUAGCCUGAGCACAGCACAACCACUAAAAACCAUCCAAUGCGUUUAUGCGCUUUUCCACCAUUACAAUAUUUUUAUACCUACUAACAAUGAUCUCCUCAUUCUCACUCGUUCCUUCAGCAAAGGAAUACUGCGCUAUAAGGUAGACUUUCAAAGCAUGCAGCUGGAUGAGUUGGAUAAUGAUUGUUUCGAUCUGGAGGACUACUAAACCAUCAUUAGGCUGGCGCUGCAUAAUUGAGCAAUGAUGCAUAGAGGAAGAAGGAGGUAAUCAAUGAUUUGCACCUCUUACUAUCGAUCUUAAAAACUAAAUAAUAUAUAAAGCAAAACGUAAGCGCGAAAAAUUUCAUGUUCUAAAUUGAAAGGUAUAAAAGCCACCGGCACAUAAGUAAAACCGUAUGCCCAAGACGUGAGCAGUGGACAAAACAUUAAUAAAAGUAACAAUAAGCAACAAGUAUGCAGAAUAAUAUGGGUAUGAGCUGCUGUUUCCCACUUUUUUUUUGUUACAUAUUUUGUUAUUUGUCAUUUUCAUUGAUCGUUUUGCCAAUAGUACCAAUAGAGAUCGUUGAGAAAAUGUGUAACUUUCGUUGCGAGCACAGCAGCAGUACGGUCAGGUCGUCCUUUAUGAAUAAAAAAGCUAAUAACCUUCAAACAAGAACGCCAUCUGAUAUCUCCACCCUAUUUUAUGUUUUCACGAUGGCUAAGUCAUGACCGACCAGCUAAGUCAUGUCCGCUAUAUUACCGGUUUACUUUGAAGUAUGUGGAUGUAUCGAUACAGUGGCUCCCAUCUAAAACGAGACACUUUAAAAUAGGGCCAAUGGGCGCGUAACACAUUUUCCAAAUUUCCGAACGAGUAACACGGUUAGCAAGACGAUAUGUUUUUUUUUUGUGCCCCUUUGUUAAUUGCAAGAAUAGUUCUUGAAUACAGAGUCCUUGGCGUAGGUUACAUUUCGAGGCAUCCCAUUUUAGAUGGGAGCAGCUGUAUACAAUGGCUAGAUUUAGUGUCUAUCAAAACUCAAAAUUGUUCAUUUGAAUGACGGAAAAAUAAAAACGCUACCCUUCAACUGGUUUACCCUGGA